CUACGUAGGGGGCGAGCGUUGUCCGGAAUGAUUGGGCGUAAAGGGCGCGUAGGCGGCGCGGUAAGUCUGGAGUGAAAGUCCUGCUUUCAAGGUGGGAAUUGCUUUGGAUACUGCCGCGCUUGAGUGCAGGAGAGGUUAUCGGAAUUCCCGGUGUAGCGGUGAAAUGCGUAGAGAUCGGGAGGAACACCAGUGGCGAAGGCGGGUAACUGGACUGCAACUGAUGCUGAGGCGCGAAAGUGUGGGGAGCAAACAGGAUUAGAUACCCUGGUAGUCCACACUGUAAACGAUGAAUGCUAGGUGUAAGAGGUAUCGACCCCUUUUGUGCCGGAGUCAACACAAUAAGCAUUCCGCCUGGGGAGUACGGCCGCAAGGUUGAAACUCAAAGGAAUUGACGGGG
RNAcentral lists this ribosomal RNA (397 nucleotides) under uncultured bacterium. RNAcentral describes it as "partial 16S ribosomal RNA". It matches the Rfam family "Bacterial small subunit ribosomal RNA", at positions 523 to 918 of the family's 1533-position model. The record is from RNAcentral.